This 214-nucleotide ribosomal RNA is filed under the name uncultured bacterium. RNAcentral describes it as "partial 16S ribosomal RNA". It matches the Rfam family "Bacterial small subunit ribosomal RNA", at positions 524 to 734 of the family's 1533-position model. The record is from RNAcentral.
GACGAAGGGGGCUAGCGUUGUUCGGAAUUACUGGGCGUAAGCGAGUGUAGGUGGUUGUCACAGUCAGGUGUGAAAGCCUUGAGCUCAACUCAAGAAAUGCACUUGAUACUAGGGCGACUAGAGGACCGGAGAGGAUAGUGGAAUUCCCAGUGUAGUGGUCGAAAUACGUAGAGAUUGGGAAGAACACCAGUGGCGGAAGGCGGGUUGCGUGGGC